UGGCAGGAUGUGUGUUGUACCGGUACGCGCUGACGCACGCACCGGCCCACCACCGGCCUUACUCGCCUGCGGCUCGACGGAAUCCUGCUCUGCGAGGCU
Acidocella sp. MX-AZ02 is the source of this 99-nucleotide regulatory RNA element. It matches the Rfam family "traJ-II RNA". NCBI's taxonomy places the organism in Bacteria, Pseudomonadati, Pseudomonadota, Alphaproteobacteria, Acetobacterales, Acidocellaceae. The record is from Rfam.